UAGGGAAUCUUGGACAAUGGGCGAAAGCCUGAUCCAGCCAUGCCGCGUGGAUGAUGAAGGCCUUCGGGUUGUAAAGUCCUUUUCUGAGGGAAGAACAUCUAGGGCAGGAAAUGGCCCUGGCUUGACGGUACCUCAGGAAUAAGCAACGGCUAACUCCGUGCCAGCAGCCGCGGUAAUACGGAGGUUGCGAGCGUUGUUCGGAAUAACUGGGCGUAAAGGGGGCGCAGGCGGCUUGGCCAGUCUAAAGUGAAAGCCCGGGGCUUAACCUCGGGGGUGCUUUGGAUACUGCCAAGGUUGAGGACGGGAGAGGAGAGUGGAAUUCCAGGGGUAGCGGUGAAAUGCGUAGAUAUCAGGAGGAACACCGGUGGCGAAAGCGGCUCUCUGGCCCGAUACUGACGCUCAGGCCCGAAAGCGUGGGG
RNAcentral lists this ribosomal RNA (419 nucleotides) under uncultured organism. RNAcentral describes it as "bacterial SSU rRNA". It matches the Rfam family "Bacterial small subunit ribosomal RNA", at positions 355 to 766 of the family's 1533-position model. The record is from RNAcentral.